CAGUAGCCACGGUAAUACGAGGGGGGCAAGCGUUGUUCGGAAUUAUUGGGCGUAAAGGGUGCGUAGGCGGUUUGAUAAGUCUUGUGUGAAAUCUCUGGGCUCAACCCAGAGUCUGCACAGGAAACUGUCGGGCUUGAGUAUUGGAGAGGUGAGUGGAAUUUCCGGUGUAGCGGUGAAAUGCGUAGAUAUCGGAAGGAACACCUGUGGCGAAAGCGGCUCACUGGACAAUUACUGACGCUGAUGCACGAAAGCUAGGGGAGCAAACAGGAUUAGAUACCCCGGUAGUCCCUGUCUCUUAUAC
This 301-nucleotide ribosomal RNA is filed under the name uncultured bacterium. RNAcentral's name for it is "partial 16S ribosomal RNA". It matches the Rfam family "Bacterial small subunit ribosomal RNA", at positions 509 to 807 of the family's 1533-position model. The record is from RNAcentral.